Jatropha curcas is the source of this 122-nucleotide non-coding RNA. NCBI's taxonomy places the organism in Eukaryota, Viridiplantae, Streptophyta, Magnoliopsida, Malpighiales, Euphorbiaceae. The record is from Rfam.
GAGCAAGGGCGUCAAAAAAAUGGCGUGUUUUUGCUUGAAGGUUGGCAAUAGCAAUAGCAAUUCUCCGUGCCUGUCAAGUUUCAAUUUCAUUUUGAUCAUGGCCUCGAACAAGUUGCUACAUU